GAGCAAGAUUGUUAGGAAGAGC
This 22-nucleotide microRNA is filed under the name Cordylochernes scorpioides. Lineage: Eukaryota; Metazoa; Arthropoda; Arachnida; Pseudoscorpiones; Chernetidae. The record is from RNAcentral.